CCACGCAGUAAACGAUGAUAACUCGUUAUCGGCGAUAUAUAGUCGGUGACCAAGCGAAAGCGAUAAGUUAUCCACCUGGGGAGUACGAUCGCAAGGUUGAAACUCAAAGGAAUUGACGGGGGCCCGCACAAGCGGAGGAGCAUGUGGUUUAAUUCGAUGAUACGCGAGGAACCUUACCCGGGUUAGAACGUUUUAGGGAUUAAGCAGAGAUGUUUAAGCUUUUCGGAGCCUAAAGCGAGGUGCUGCAUGGUUGU
Molecule: ribosomal RNA, 254 nt
Filed under: uncultured bacterium
Lineage: Bacteria
Description: partial 16S ribosomal RNA
Rfam family: Bacterial small subunit ribosomal RNA
Source: RNAcentral